Molecule: long non-coding RNA, 297 nt
Filed under: Felis catus (domestic cat)
Lineage: Eukaryota; Metazoa; Chordata; Mammalia; Carnivora; Felidae
Description: lncRNA (ENSFCAG00000049966.1)
Source: RNAcentral
AUGGGCUGCACGGGGGUUGUUUAUUCACUAAAGCUGCCCCAGUUUAGUCUUCUUAUGCCACAAUAUAGGACGAUCCCUCGCGGCUUCCUGGUAAUGAAUGACCCGAGGGUAACACCAACACAACCUUCGAGAAAAGGCGGACCAUUUCCCCAAGCCCGAGAUCUGCAGGACUGAAAUGAAAUAUUUUGAGCUCUUCUAGCUGACUCAUCAGAAUCCUGGAGCAUUUUUUAAAAUGACGAGUGAAUAGACUAUAAGCAGCCAUCUCUUUCUCAUGCAGUCCAGCCUGAAAUGGAAAUU